CUAGUAAUCGCGGAUCAGCAUGCCGCGGUGAAUACGUUCUCGGGCCUUGUACACACCGCCCGUCACACCAUGGGAGUCGGUAACACCCGAAGUCUGUAGCCUGACGCAAGAGGGCGCAGCCGAAGGUGGGAUUGAUGACUGGGGUGAAGUCGUAACAAGGUAAC
This 164-nucleotide ribosomal RNA is filed under the name uncultured bacterium. Its description in RNAcentral is "partial 16S ribosomal RNA". It matches the Rfam family "Bacterial small subunit ribosomal RNA", at positions 1335 to 1500 of the family's 1533-position model. The record is from RNAcentral.